UUAAGUCUGAUGUGAAAGCCCACGGCUUAACCGUGGAGGGUCAUUGGAAACUGGGGAACUUGAGUACAGAAGAGGAGAGUGGAAUUCCACGUGUAGCGGUGAAAUGCGUAGAUAUGUGGAGGAACACCAGUGGCGAAGGCGACUCUCUGGUCUGUAACUGACGNUGAGGCGCGAAAGCGUGGGGAGCGAACAGGAUUAGAUACCCUGGUAGUCCACGCCGUAAACGAUGAGUGCUAGGUGUUAGGGGGUUUCCGCCCCUUAGUGCUGAAGUUAACGCAUUAAGCACUCCGCCUGGGGAGUACGGCCGCAAGGCUGAAACUCAAAAGAAUUGACGGGGGCCCGCACAAGCGGUGGAGCAUGUGGUUUAAUUCGAAGCAACGCGAAGAACCUUACCAGGUCUUGACAUCCUCUGACCACUCUAGAGAUAGAGCUUUCCCUUCGGGGACAGAGUGACAGGUGGUGCAUGGUUGUCGUCAGCUCGUGUCGUGAGAUGUUGGGUUAAGUCCCGCAACGAGCGCAACCCUUGACCUUAGUUGCCAGCAUUNAGUUGGGCACUCUAAGGUGACNGCCGGUGACAAACCGGAGGAAGGUGGGGAUGACGUCAAAUCAUCAUGCCCCUUAUGACCUGGGCUACACACGUGCUACAAUGGANGGUACAAAGGGAAGCAAAACCGCGAGGUCCAGCAAAUCCCAUAAAACCAUUCUCAGUUCGGAUUGUAGGCUGCAACUCGCCUACAUGAAGCCGGAAUCGCUAGUAAUCGCGGAUCAG
Molecule: ribosomal RNA, 769 nt
Filed under: Aquibacillus koreensis
Lineage: Bacteria; Bacillati; Bacillota; Bacilli; Caryophanales; Bacillaceae
Description: bacterial SSU rRNA
Rfam family: Bacterial small subunit ribosomal RNA
Source: RNAcentral